Small nuclear RNA from Erinaceus europaeus (western European hedgehog), 108 nucleotides. NCBI's taxonomy places the organism in Eukaryota, Metazoa, Chordata, Mammalia, Eulipotyphla, Erinaceidae. The record is from Ensembl.
GUGCUCACUUCGGCAGCACAUGUACUAAAGUUGGCACGAUAUAGAGAAGAUUAGCAUGGCCUUUGUGCAAGGAUGACAUGCAAAAUCCAUGAAGCGUUCCAUAAUUUU